ACUUAAAUUGAAGAGUUUGAUCAUGGCUCAGAUUGAACGCUGGCGGCAGGCCUAACACAUGCAAGUCGAGCGGUAGCACAGAGAGCUUGCUCUCGGGUGACGAGCGGCGGACGGGUGAGUAAUGUCUGGGAAACUGCCUGAUGGAGGGGGAUAACUACUGGAAACGGUAGCUAAUACCGCAUAACGUCGCAAGACCAAAGUGGGGGACCUUCGGGCCUCAUGCCAUCAGAUGUGCCCAGAUGGGAUUAGCUAGUAGGUGGGGUAAUGGCUCACCUAGGCGACGAUCCCUAGCUGGUCUGAGAGGAUGACCAGCCACACUGGAACUGAGACACGGUCCAGACUCCUACGGGAGGCAGCAGUGGGGAAUAUUGCACAAUGGGCGCAAGCCUGAUGCAGCCAUGCCGCGUGUAUGAAGAAGGCCUUCGGGUUGUAAAGUACUUUCAGCGAGGAGGAAGGCGUUAAGGUUAAUAACCUUGGCGAUUGACGUUACUCGCAGAAGAAGCACCGGCUAACUCCGUGCCAGCAGCCGCGGUAAUACGGAGGGUGCAAGCGUUAAUCGGAAUUACUGGGCGUAAAGCGCACGCAGGCGGUCUGUCAAGUCGGAUGUGAAAUCCCCGGGCUCAACCUGGGAACUGCAUUCGAAACUGGCAGGCUAGAGUCUUGUAGAGGGGGGUAGAAUUCCAGGUGUAGCGGUGAAAUGCGUAGAGAUCUGGAGGAAUACCGGUGGCGAAGGCGGCCCCCUGGACAAAGACUGACGCUCAGGUGCGAAAGCGUGGGGAGCAAACAGGAUUAGAUACCCUGGUAGUCCACGCCGUAAACGAUGUCGACUUGGAGGUUGUGCCCUUGAGGCGUGGCUUCCGGAGCUAACGCGUUAAGUCGACCGCCUGGGGAGUACGGCCGCAAGGUUAAAACUCAAAUGAAUUGACGGGGGCCCGCACAAGCGGUGGAGCAUGUGGUUUAAUUCGAUGCAACGCGAAGAACCUUACCUACUCUUGACAUCCAGAGAACUUAGCAGAGAUGCUUUGGUGCCUUCGGGAACUCUGAGACAGGUGCUGCAUGGCUGUCGUCAGCUCGUGUUGUGAAAUGUUGGGUUAAGUCCCGCAACGAGCGCAACCCUUAUCCUUUGUUGCCAGCGGUUCGGCCGGGAACUCAAAGGAGACUGCCAGUGAUAAACUGGAGGAAGGUGGGGAUGACGUCAAGUCAUCAUGGCCCUUACGAGUAGGGCUACACACGUGCUACAAUGGCAUAUACAAAGAGAAGCGACCUCGCGAGAGCAAGCGGACCUCAUAAAGUAUGUCGUAGUCCGGAUUGGAGUCUGCAACUCGACUCCAUGAAGUCGGAAUCGCUAGUAAUCGUAGAUCAGAAUGCUACGGUGAAUACGUUCCCGGGCCUUGUACACACCGCCCGUCACACCAUGGGAGUGGGUUGCAAAAGAAGUAGGUAGCUUAACCUUCGGGAGGGCGCUUACCACUUUGUGAUUCAUGACUGGGGUGAAGUCGUAACAAGGUAACCGUAGGGGAACCUGCGGUUGGAUCACCUCCUUACCUUAAAGAA
RNAcentral lists this ribosomal RNA (1554 nucleotides) under Klebsiella aerogenes. RNAcentral's name for it is "bacterial SSU rRNA". It matches the Rfam family "Bacterial small subunit ribosomal RNA". Lineage: Bacteria; Pseudomonadati; Pseudomonadota; Gammaproteobacteria; Enterobacterales; Enterobacteriaceae. The record is from RNAcentral.